CACAAUUCACAGUGUGACCAGGACACUGACAUAAGGAAACAACCACAAGUGGAAUGAUGGACAAGACGACCUGUUUCUGAACUGCUACAGAAAGAGACUGGCUCGGGAGUUGGCUUCUGCCCUGCUGAUUGAUGUGCCUUCUCCACCAUCCUUCAGCACAAUCGGCGCAGCCCACCAGGAGUACCACUCAGGAGCCACCGACAUCAUUUGAAUGACCCUUCAUCACCUCCAGUCCUCUCUUAAAACUUCCAUUAAAAGAGGUCAAAUGCUGCCUCGGAGCCUGUUAGCAGCUCCCACCUGAAAGUCACCCAAUUUUCAUUUACAAUUUGUUAGUCAUUUGUGACGUGUUUUUCAGCAGUGCUCUUUUUAACAGCUUCCAGUUUGUUCAGUGUCUUUUCUCCACCUGCUCAGAGAACUUCUUCUGAUGGGAAAAGUUCAGUUGAUACCAAGGAAAGUUUAAUAUACUUCUAUGUUUAUCCUUUAAGAUUUCUUUUCUUUCUGGCUGAUAGGUGAUGAAACAACAUUCACACAACUACAAAGUUCCCCUUUCUAUGAUGGAUAAAUUUCAUGUCAUCCCAGAAUACCUGUUUAACAUUAAAAAGUUGAUGGAAAUCUUUGUUAUCAAGGAAGAUCUCUCAAAUAAAUACCCUUUUCCCCCCCAAAACAAAUCUGCAUUAUUUUUAUCUCCAUAAUAUAUAGAAGAUGACACAUUAUUUCAAAAUAUUAGUGUUCUCUUAUUCCCGGGCAAGUAGAGAAAGCUAUAAGAGCAUUGAAAUAGUGAUUGGUAUAUAUGUUAUUAUUGCAACCAAUUUUUCUACUGAUCUA
Molecule: long non-coding RNA, 825 nt
Filed under: Equus caballus (horse)
Lineage: Eukaryota; Metazoa; Chordata; Mammalia; Perissodactyla; Equidae
Description: lncRNA (ENSECAG00000048604.1)
Source: RNAcentral